GAUGAACGCUGGCGGCGUGCCUAAUACAUGCAAGUCGAGCGAACAGACGAGGAGCUUGCUCCUCUGACGUUAGCGGCGGACGGGUGAGUAACACGUGUAUAACCUACCUAUAAGACUGGGAUAACUUCGGGAAACCGGAGCUAAUACCGGAUAAUAUAUUGAACCGCAUGGUUCAAUAGUGAAAGACGGUUUUGCUGUCACUUAUAGAUGGAUCCGCGCCGCAUUAGCUAGUUGGUAAGGUAACGGCUUACCAAGGCAACGAUGCGUAGCCGACCUGAGAGGGGGAUCGGCCACCCUGGAACUGAGCCACGGUCCAGACUCCUACGGGAGGCAGCAGUAGGGAAUCUUACGCAAUGGGCGAAAGCUUGACGGAGCAACGCCGCGUGAGUGAUGAAGGUCUUCGGAUCGUAAAACUCUGUUAUUAGGGAAGAACAAAUGUGUAAGUAAAUAUGCACGUCUUGACGGUACCUAAUCAGAAAGCAACGGCUAACUACGUG
RNAcentral lists this ribosomal RNA (497 nucleotides) under uncultured bacterium. RNAcentral describes it as "partial 16S ribosomal RNA". It matches the Rfam family "Bacterial small subunit ribosomal RNA", at positions 28 to 507 of the family's 1533-position model. The record is from RNAcentral.